RNAcentral lists this long non-coding RNA (372 nucleotides) under Androctonus crassicauda. The record is from RNAcentral. Lineage: Eukaryota; Metazoa; Arthropoda; Arachnida; Scorpiones; Buthidae.
GUCAUCUGUUAGCAAAAAAAAAAAAAAAAAAAAAAAAAAACUAGCCGGGCGGCUUAGUUUUCCCGUAUUUAGUAGCGGUGGACAGAAGGCGCCGGCCUUAAUUACUACGGAAACGAAAACAAUCUUUUAGAAUAGAAAUUUCAUUCGUCCCGAAAUGUUUUAUGCGGGUAUAAACGGCGCCGGGCCCUGGAAAAUGCCCUUAGUCUUCGACUUACAACCGUUCCCACCACUAAUCGGUUAUUGUAUUCUAACUCUUAUACGCCGCAAACAAUUCCCAAACCGGAAUGGCUGGCUACUAGUGCCGUUACCUCCGGAGGGAGUUUUUUUUUGGUCAACAGAUGACGCCACACUCCAUUCUGGAAGAGUGCUGUG